UACGAAGGGGGCUAGCGUUGCUCGGAAUGACUGGGCGUAAAGGGCGCGUAGGCGGCUCGAUGCGUCGUGCGUGAAACACCCCGGCUCAACUGGGGAGGGUCGUGCGAUACGGUCGGGCUUGAGGCCAGUAGGGGGAUGCGGAAUUCCGGGUGUAGUGGUGGAAUGCGUAGAGAUCCGGAGGAACACCAGUGGCGAAGGCGACACGCUGGGUCAUACCUGACGCUAAAACGCGACAGCAUGGGGAGCGAACGGG
This 253-nucleotide ribosomal RNA is filed under the name uncultured bacterium. RNAcentral describes it as "partial 16S ribosomal RNA". It matches the Rfam family "Bacterial small subunit ribosomal RNA", at positions 524 to 776 of the family's 1533-position model. The record is from RNAcentral.